Chlorocebus sabaeus (green monkey) is the source of this 2453-nucleotide long non-coding RNA. RefSeq lists it as uncharacterized. NCBI's taxonomy places the organism in Eukaryota, Metazoa, Chordata, Mammalia, Primates, Cercopithecidae. The record is from RefSeq and is a predicted model, not a curated record.
UCCCCACCUCGCCCCCCUUCCCGCUCCGGUCCUCUUUGUCCCCGCUGCCUCGGAGCGCUCCUCUCUCUCCUCCUUUCCUCGGCCGAAACGGACGCCAGCCCUGCGUCCCGUGUGUCCCACCCUCCUCCUGCGCGACCACCGCUUCCCCGGGCCCCAACAUCCCCAGGCCGUCUGCUCCCUUCCUGUCGCUUUCCUCCCCACGCCCCGCUUCCUUCCUUACGGGUGCCUGUGCCCGGGCCCCUCUCCUCCACCCCGCCUUGCCUUUCGAAUGUCCCCUGCGUGGACACACCUAACCCAGACGCCAACCUGCAAGAGUGUCUCCCGGUAGCCGGGAACCGGGACCCCAAGUUCACCUGUAGGAUUUCCCAGAAGGGGUGUUGGGGCCUGACCUUUCACAGAUAGCUCUUACAAGGAGCCAAAAGUCUGGAAAGCUAAGUUUUUCUUUGCAGACUCACAGUCCUCACCUUCUGCUCAUUCUGUUUUGCAUCUGGAGCAAUCUGAGCUUGAUUAAAGGACGAAGAAAAGUAUAAUCAAAGUUACAGAGACUAAACCUGAACUUGUAAUCAGACUUCGAGGAUCAGGAAUAUAAAUACGCUUCGCAGUGGAAACCCGCUAGCUGCAAGAAUGGGAAUUGCAAGUGGGCUGAUGUACUGCAUUCAGCUUUGGGCGUGGAGCCUAGAAAAUGAAGCGAGAACUUUACCCCUAAGGCUCUCAGGAGUUAGGAAUGCUCAAUGACAAUCCCUAACUUCUGGCCAUUGUUUUGGAAAAGUCUUUCUCUUAAAUUUCCCUUCCCUGUUAGGAUGCAAAUGCUUUUGAGAAGGGAACAAUACUCAUCCGUCUGCAUUUUAUUAUUUGAUUUAGGAUGUAAGGUAAGCAAAAGAUCUGAGUCUAGAUUUUGAUUUGGGGGGAGGGGAAGAAUCCGGGUGAUGAGCUGAAGAUGUGUAUGUUGAGGCAUUUAGAAUUCGAAAAUCACUGGAACAGAAAAAGGGCAUUGGGGAAGGCUGCUAACUUGACGAUUUUGCCCAAUCUCCACGCAUUUGGCAGCUAGCUAUAUUUAUUUAUUUAUUUAUUUAUUUAUUUAUUUAUUUAUUUAUUUAAGUACCUACCAUGUGCCAGACAUGAUUUUAGGCACUUGUGAAUGAGAAAGAGGAUUCGAUUCCCAACAUGACACAUAAAGAGGACUAUGAAUUGAGCUCUUGGAACACAAAAUACACACGUACUCACAUGCACACGUGUAUACAUACCCUGAACCAUCCCAGUCACCUGGAGAUACUGACAUGGCACAGCCACUAGCUGCUGUUGAGAGAAGCAACAUGAGAAACAAACUCACAUACAGUGUGAAGGAUGCCAGCCUUUACAUCCCCAUGGUAUUUGUAUAAGAAGGCUCAAGGGACGAGGCAGUGCACACUGAUAGAUCAUUGCUGAAUCCCAAGAACCUCAGACCGUGCUUGGUACAUAGUUUGUUUGCAGGAAAUAAAUAUUCAUUAAAGAAAGAAAGUUUAGAAAGAACAUGGGAAGGAAGAAGGAAAAAAAAUCAGAAUGUUUUAAUAGUGUAAUUUAUUUGCAGGGAACCUUAAGGCAGGAUUUGAGAAGAGUGUAUCCAGGGCCUCUGAUGUGAAUUAGAACAAUCUACCUUGGGUAGGGUGGGGGCCUUUUGCACCCUGCUGUUGUAGACUCUUCGUAAAUGUUAAAACUAGGAUCCUAUGUGGUUUCCUUUAGAAAUGAUCUGAUUAUACUCUCCAUUGCUUUCGCACUAUCAUCUAAUUUUAAGGGUUCCAGUGGUUUUGAAGACUAUCCAUUAAAAACUUUAGAAUGAUGCUUUAAAAAAUUAAAUGCAAUUGUAACUGUCAUGGUAUUUGUUAUCUUAAGGGUGUCACUGUUUUCAGUCUGUCAGCAGUCUUGUUUCUGAAAGCCAUAGACAAAGGUUUCCUUUAUACUGGAUUAGCCUUGAAUUUGAAGAAACUUCUCCAAGAACAUAUCUUAAAUGUGCUUUGAAUUUAUGCUGAACAAUGCUAACAGUUAUUGACUUAGAAGGGCAGCAGAAGAAUCAAUUCUGCAGCCAAAAUGCAACUUCUGGGCAUAAGAAAAUUCCUUUAGGGUUUUGAGAUGAUUUGGAUCAAAACUGUCCAUCUUAUUAUAAUGCUUGAUGUUUCUAAUUAAAUAGUUGAUGUCAUCCAAGAAUCCCUUAAAAAUGGGGAGAAAAUACACAAACUUUACGUUGUGGGAAAACUACCUUACAUCUUGACAGAAGCUGAAACCUUUCUCUACUUUAUCUGGUUUCAAAUUAUGCAAGAAAGUCCCCACGAGGACUUCAUUAAACCUGCCAGAGUUUUAUAACCAAAAACCUCACUGGAACCCCCACUUUUACAAAUCUAUGAAAGUAAUUUAACCCCUCCGUGUUCUGCUUGCCCAAGAUGAGACGCAAAUACUAUUAAACAGUAUAUACAGUUUAA